RNAcentral lists this ribosomal RNA (253 nucleotides) under uncultured bacterium. Its description in RNAcentral is "partial 16S ribosomal RNA". It matches the Rfam family "Bacterial small subunit ribosomal RNA", at positions 524 to 776 of the family's 1533-position model. The record is from RNAcentral.
UACAGAGGUCCCAAGCGUUGUUCGGAUUCACUGGGCGUAAAGGGUGCGUAGGUGGUGAGGUAAGUUUGAUGUGAAAGCUCCGAGCUCAACUCAGAAAUGGCAUUGAAUACUAUCUUGCUAGAGGUUUGGAGGGGGGACUGGAAUUCUCGGUGUAGCAGUGAAAUGCGUAGAUAUCGAGAGGAACACCAGUGGCGAAGGCGAGUCCCUGGACAACACCUGACACUGAGGCACGAAAGCUAGGGGAGCAAACAGG